This 317-nucleotide ribosomal RNA is filed under the name uncultured eukaryote. RNAcentral's name for it is "partial 18S ribosomal RNA". It matches the Rfam family "Eukaryotic small subunit ribosomal RNA", at positions 1470 to 1796 of the family's 1831-position model. The record is from RNAcentral.
CCCUUAGAUGUUCUGGGCCGCACGCGUGCUACACUGACCGGCGCAACAAGCUUUUUUCCUUGGCUCGACAGGCCUGGGUAAUCUUCGAACGCCGGUCGUGAUGGGGAUAGAUCCUUGCAAUUUUUGAUCUUCAACGAGGAAUUCCUAGUAAAUGCGAGUCAUCAUCUCGCGUUGAUUACGUCCCUGCCCUUUGUACACACCGCCCGUCGCACCUACCGAUUGAAUGGUCCGGUGAAGCCUCCGGAGUGCACAGGCCCCGUGUCUGGCGCGAGAAGUUGGCUAAACCUUACCAUUUAGAGGAAGGUGAAGUCGUAACA